CGUUCAUCCUAAGUUUAAGGACGGAAGUAAGCAAAAAGCUGAAGGAACGCAC
Molecule: non-coding RNA, 52 nt
Filed under: marine eukaryotic metagenome
Description: Glutamine riboswitch
Rfam family: Glutamine riboswitch aptamer (glnA leader)
Source: RNAcentral